Molecule: long non-coding RNA, 6112 nt
Organism: Brienomyrus brachyistius
Lineage: Eukaryota; Metazoa; Chordata; Actinopteri; Osteoglossiformes; Mormyridae
Exons: 2
Source: RefSeq, a predicted model, not a curated record
AUGUGAUUUGAUUAUUCUUACUCAUGAUGAUGAUGAUGAGUCACAAACAGCCACCCUCCUGGGAUUUUUACAUGCUUAGAGUUUAUGGAGGAUGGUGCAAUAAACAAAAGUCCUCCAUCACCAAAAACACCUUGUUAAUGAGAGAGGUCAGAGCAGAAUGGUCAGACUUGUUAAAGCUAACAGGUCAGUCACAAGUGCCGAAAUAACAGCUCAGAGCAUCAGAGGUGUGCAAAAAGGCAUCUUCAACUGCGCAACUCCUCAACUCGGAAAGGGUCUUACCAGGUACUAUGGGGGAGGUGUAUGGCACAGUGGGUUAGGAUGCUGUGAUUGUAAGGUUGCUAGUUCAAAAAAAAUAUAAAUGUACCGUAAAUGCAGGGGUACCUAAUAAAGUGAAUGCUGAGUGUAAAUUUCUUAUGUUGACUGAAUGGUGAAAAUGCUGGUUUAUAAUGGAACAAUUCAUUUUCACUUUGGAAGUCUCCUUCAAAAGUGAAAAGGCAGAGUUGGUUCAUUUUAGGGUUUUAAUUGUUUUUAAUCCAUUUCAUGAAGAGAAUAUGAUGCGUAUGCUGAAUAGUGGAUGGCAGUUGUAGAACAUACUCAUUUAUAAUUACGCAUUGACCAAUGGGGAGGUAUCACGGUUACGUUUUAAUGUCCGUCACCCGCGGCUGAAAUUUCAGACUGGGGUUUGACUGACGUUCACUCACCCACAGCGUUUGUUGAUCUCUGAGGUCAGAAAGCAGUGAGUAGGUGUGACCUUGCACGCGAGUUUUGACUACAGACUCACGCCCAGAUGUGGAAUUGACACCGUUAGCAUUGUUUGCUGAGACAUGUGAUGCCACAUCACUGUCACGCUCAGAAAAACGCUUUCUCUGAGAGAGGUUUUUUUCUUAACUUCUUUAAAGCUGCCCUACCUCUCCUCCAUACUUCAUGGCCAUGAUUGGAAGGCCAUUGGUUCAAAUCCUAUGGUUUGCAGAGUGCUUUAACCUUUGGACCCUUAAGCAAGGCCCUUAACCCCAAAAUUCUCCAGGGACUAGCUGACCCUGCCUCCUCAAUAAUGUACAUCACUUUGGAUUAAACUGUCUGCUGAAUAAAUAAAUGUAAAUGUAUGUUUUGUUUUUUUUUUUGCUGGAAACAAAAAUGUCAAUUUGACAGUGACGAUACAGAAAAGAGUAUGCUGUCAAAAACAUUCCUUCUUCAGAAUAAAGGCUGAAACCACCCAUUAACCACGAUAACCCAGCAGCACCGGUAGCAGGGAGCCAGUAUUGGUGUGAUUUAGAUGCCUUGUAGACUUUGGUAGCGUGCUCCUGCAAUGACACCGAGACAGCAGUGGCUGCGUCCUACUGAACGCCUGUCUAGCCCCUGCAGGGAGGUCCUGUUUAAUCAGGGGAUGAUCUCCAGGGAUGGCAGCACUGUGCAUUAACCCCCCAACUGAAUAAGUGGACCCAGACAUCAUCAUCAUCAUCAUCAUCAUCAUCAUCAUAGGCGCAUCGUCAUUAGCCUGUCAGGAGGCUUUACUGUUUGGAACGACUCCUUGGGGCUCCAACUACUUGCGCAUCAAUUUGUCGAUGGAGAGUGUUGAAGGACAUCUUCCCGGACAUUGCUUCACAAUCCAUUGCUCCGGCUCUUUAGGCCCAUAGCUUGACGUUGCCAGGUGUUAAGGGCAGUAAUGUGUCUUGUAUGUUUGUUUUCUGCAGGCAGAUUGAAAUGAUAGGAUUCUGAGCUGCUUCUUUCCGCUCUCCUGCCUGCCAGUUCCCUUUAAUAUCUCCUUUUUUAUCCAGUUGUUGUCACAUUUCCUUUUCCUCUCCCACUGAAGCGUUCUACUAAGAAAUGUGUGGUUUCUAAAGAUACCAGUCUGCCCUCUCACUGCCUGCUGUAAAGACCUCUUGGUAAAGACCAUGCCAUGGUAAAGACCUCUGGAGUUCUCUUCCCCUUGAAGACUUUAAUGCUCCUCUCCAACUUGAGCUCUACUCGUUGUUCAUCUUUGAUCUUCAACCAAUUGCGAGGAAUAGUCUGUAUGUGCAAAAUUCUGAAUCCUUUAAAGCCAAAAUGUGCUACUUGCAUUGCAGUUUCACUAAUAGUUGGCCUAUUUGAAUAAUUAGAGUUUUGGACAAAGAACAGAAUGGAGAACAUAUUUUAUAGAGAACAAUUGUACCACAGCUUUGAGGUUAAAUGUUUACUAGCCAACAUCAACAAUGUUUACUGCAUCAACAAAAGCUGAUUUGAUUUGCAUGAAUAUGCCUUUUAUAAAUAUGACCUUUAACAAAAAAAACCUCAGCGAUACAUAUAAUUUACUGAAGUGCUAAUGCAAAAGACUGCAUACAUCUGUAGGUAAAUUUACAUUUAAUCUUAAAUAGUUAAUGUGUUCUUUAGUGCAUAUUUUUUUUGGCUUUGGUAUUUUUUACUAUAAGGUGUCUUGUAUGGUUUAGGAAGGUAAAUUUGACAUGUAAAAUCUGACUUACGUAAGAGUUUGUGGAACUGAUUACUUACGUCAUUUGAAAUCUCCAUGUGUUGGGGGGUUGGUAUGGGGGUGGCAAGAAAGUUGGCUACAUUCCACUUGAAAUAUUCCACGUGGCCAAAAGACAUAACAACCUGUUUUUCUGAGUAUGGCCCAGUUCGUGCUCAGCUUUCUGCCAGCGAACCCCUUCCCUUCUCUCCACCAGCCAGAUUGACGGCCCCAAGCCUGCGCUCUAUUUUCACAAGCAGAGAUUAACUGCUCCCUCCCUCCCCUCUAACUCUCAGGUCUGACUGCAAUGAACUCCAAUUACCGUGCCGCCAUCUUGCCGUAAUUGGCUGAUUAUUACCCCAAGCUGAGCCUCUCCCCAUCUAAUCAGCAGUAUCUGCCAGCCAAAGGCGGUGCUUGUCGCCACUGCUGCUGCAUUGGGGUCUGCUGACCCCUGCCCAGUCCAUAGAGACUAGCUGACUACAUCCUGCUUGCUCUACCUCAAUGAGUUUUAAAUGAUCCAGCGUCCCAGACCGCGCGCCGAGUUCAGCUGCCGCCAGAGCAAUUGAAUUUUAUCUGCCCUCAGGUACAUAUCCCCUGCUUAUGGAGAUAGAACAUCAGAGGCUUGGCCCUCAAACUCACAUCACACCCUGUGUUAGAGACCCACUUCCUCCUGGAGACAUGUAAUCCAGGCAUCCCAUCCUGGUACUCCUCAGAAAAAUGGGGGGUGUUGUCAUGGCAUCAGAAUGUGAUGUAUGUGCCAUCCUGGAAAUGACCCAGGGUGCCAGUCUUUUUCUUGAUAAGUAAAAGCAGAGAGCUGGGUUUAUGAUACUGUUGGAAUCAUCCUUGCCUUUGGUAGGAUGUCCCUAGCAGAGUGCUUUCAUUAUCAAAUAAAUGGUCAGAAAAAAGGAUGGGCUAUGCCUCUGACCAGGGAUCAGAAGGUUGCUGGUUCAAAUCCUUGGGUCAGAAGCGCAUUGCCACCUUUGGGCCUGUAAGUGAGGCCCCAGAUCUCCAGUUACCCAAAGCACUGUCUGACCCUGUUUUGCGAAAUGUAUGUUGCAUUGGAUAAACAAAAAAAAUCUGUUAUUGUACAUGUCGUUCAAAUAUAUGAGGAUGAAUAUGAAAGGGCUGAAGAUGGAGUCAGAGUUUGGGUGUCUUUAUGCACUGGUGGCUUCGCACAGAUGCGAGCGUGAAUAUGCCCCUUUCUCGUUUCGUGAAUCACUGUGUAAUACAUGCCUGCUGUUUUCUAGGAAUGAGCCAUCGUGUCCUAUGAAAAAAAACCUGCACAGUUAUGUCUCAGAGGUGUCACUCACAUAUGGAUCUGCUGGUCCUUUGAAAAUAAAAAGGUAGAUUUACAGUAAAUGAUAUUAUUGGGGUAUGGUUUGUGUGUAUGUGUGUGUGUGUUUGCAUAGAUCACAUUUGGGGACAAGAAUGUCCCCAAAGUCCCGUAAAACCUGAAACUUCCUUAUUUUUGGGAACAUUUUUCAGGUCCACAUUUGGAUAAAGUUAUAAAAACCUUAUUAAAAUCAGUUCUAUCAAUAAAGUAAAAAUUCAGUUGUAUUUUGUUUGGUUUCUUAUGGUUAAGGUUAGGGCUGGGUAGGGGUUAAGGAUGUUGCAAUUGGGAUUAGGGGUUUUCCUAUAGAAAUGAAUGGAAGGUCCCCAUUUAGAUAGGUACACCAACAUUUGUGUGUGUGUGUGUGUAUUUGUUUUUUUGUCUUCUGUGGCAGCUCUGACACGUUGGGGAUUCCCUGAAGGUUUUCAGCUGUACCGUGCCUGAAAUGACGGAUCCUCCUCAGAUGAUUAUGUGGAACAUGACAUAUCAGCAUCGUCUCCGUGUUAGAUGUUUGUUUGUAAUCUCUAACUGCGGGAUGGGAAUCCCCACAAAAAGUUAUUCUUCUUAAAAUAUCGUUAUGAAACUAACUAUUAGUUAGUUCGCUCGCUUGUUUGGGGCUCUUCUUCAAAGUUUGAGCCCAGGUGCCUAUUCUACCCCGUGGAGUUCUGGCCCAGGUACCUCUCCUGUAGCAUGGGGUCCCAGUCUGGGCAUCUCUCCUGCCACACGGGGUUCCGGCCUGGGUGCUUUUUCUGCCAGGUGGGGUACGGGCCCAGGCAUCUUUGCUGUGGGAUGGGGUCCCAGAUCCAGGCACCUCUCCUUUGGUGUAGGGUUCUAGCCCAGGUGCCACUCCUUCAGGUCUUCUACCUUCCUUCCGGUCCGGGCACCUCUUUUGUCUGGUUGCCUCUCCUGCACCUCUCCCAUUCCCGCACAUGUGGCAGGUGGCCUCUGUCUGCUAGCCACAUCCUGCGAAAGCUGCCCCACGAAGUCUUUCAGACACAUAUUUAAAACUUUGUCUCUGGACUGACUGGCACACCACCAGGGACCAGAUAUAUCAAGACUGAAACUUCCAUGCUGAGAAAUGCAUCCGGGCACGGUGGGUAAUUAUUUCACAAUAAGCCCACUCGUGUAACUCUGUACCACAUGCAUUUGGAGGUGUGCAUGGAUGGAUGAUUUCCUCAUUUUCUGCUCCAUCAGCCAACCUGACGUCAGACCUGGUAAAUGUGUCAAAGUGCGGUAAGGCCAUUUAAAUGUGUUUUGAUUGAUAUUCGUGACCCUGCAGGUGACUCACUGAUGGAAAUUUUGUUGAAUGGUGAAAAUGAAGUGUGUCAGGAAGUAUUCUCUUCGUGCAAAUGUCACCAGGUGCCACCAAGAAUGUUUUGGGACUUUGCUUAAAGCGGCAGGUUUAAGAGGUAACCACCGGCCCUACUCGCCCACCAUGACGGCCACCUUUCACCGCUUCUCUUGGAAUCUCUGGGUUUUUUUGGAAAUACCGUGGGUGGCCGCAUCCUGCAUAUGUUUAACUACCCACUUAUCGUGGGCUUAAACCCAUAAGUAUGUGCUCUGCAUCUUCCGAAAAAUGGCUCCCGUUUUGCUGCUGGCCAUUUAGUCUGCAACAAGACAUCCUCACUGUUCACACAGAAGAUCAGAGCAACUUCAGCUUCUUCAAAUGAAUUUGAAAUUUCUGGAUUGAGAAGCAUGUUCAUGACAUGAGUUUUUCUGCACUGAUCGGAUGACGGUGCUCUCCACGCAGCAGUAGCGGGUCGGAAGAUGAGACCCAGUUGCCUGAUCGUGCCCUGAGUUUGUGCUUUUGGCUGUUUUCAGCCCUCAGGAGGCCAAAGGGGGUGCACGUGGUCCACAUUCCAGUGUGUAGGCCCAGCAUAAGCCCUUCUUGCACCUGCAAUCGCUGGCCAGAGCCCAAUGGUGUUUUUUUCACUCAGUUACUCAGAAAUGCACCAGGUGGAAACCGUCUCGGAGUGCUGGGGUGCCACGCCUGAUGGAAAACAAACAGAGUUGCAUUUGGUUUCUGAUAUGACUGGGGGGGAACCCCAGCCUGUGCAAAGCACUGAGUCAAUUUCUUGUUGUGUGUCAUAAUUACUCAGCCUGCAUCCGUUUAUAUAACCUUUUUUAUGGUGAGAAAUUUGCUGAUGCAUAUCAAACACGAACAUUCACUUUGGGUUGUGUAUUUUUCAUAUAUACAGUACCAGUCAAAAGUUUGGACACACCUGCUUUUAUUGCAUUGGUCCCUGUUUUAGCUGUUAUUCACCUUAUAGUAAAAGGCCUUGAGGCAAUGUGAAUGCUUUAAUACAUGUCAAAUAAUAAACAUUCAAUAUCUGAGUUUUUUU